RNAcentral lists this long non-coding RNA (324 nucleotides) under Homo sapiens (human). RNAcentral's name for it is "HSALNT0378048". Lineage: Eukaryota; Metazoa; Chordata; Mammalia; Primates; Hominidae. The record is from RNAcentral.
GGCAACAUGCUCUGGUACCGUUCCACGCUGUGGAAGCUUUGUUCUUUUGCUCUUUGCAAUAGAUCUUGCUGCUGCUCAGUCUUUCGGUCCACGCUGCUUUUAUGAGCUUGUAACGCUCACCGCCAAGGUCUGUAGCUUCACUCCUGAGCCAGCGAGACCACGAACCCACCAGAGGAAGAAACUCGGAACACAAGUGAACAUCAGAAGGGACAAACUCCAGACGCGCCACCUUAAGAACUGUAACACUCGCCGCGAGGGUCCGCGUCUUCAUUCUUGAAGUCAGUGAGACCAAGAACCCACCAAUUCCGGACACAGAACCACAGG